Molecule: long non-coding RNA, 982 nt
Organism: Pseudophryne corroboree (corroboree frog)
Lineage: Eukaryota; Metazoa; Chordata; Amphibia; Anura; Myobatrachidae
Exons: 3
Source: RefSeq, a predicted model, not a curated record
CAUCACCAUGACAACCAACGUCAUGACGUCGGCCCGCCUAUCCGGCGCCGUUUGAUUACGUCAUCCAGAAGCUCCCACUGUGUUAGCAGUGGAUAGCGGGCGGUCAGCGGCGUGGGACAGUCAAAAGUACAUAAAGAGCGUCAUUGUUUCCAUCCGCGCGGACGGUUCUGUGGAGGAAGAUGAAAUGUAACACCGGUAUUCUACAGGAGAAAUAGGAAAACUACGUCAGAAGAAUUUUAAUAAACCUCCGCUAAGGGGAUGAAAAGGGGGUGACAUAAUGCCGCCAUUACCAAUGCGUGGCUUGCGUUACGUCAACAAACAAUAACGCCCAAACGGACAAUCGGAUGAAAAUUUGGAUUACACCUAACUUUAAUAAAGUACAAAAAUGGUCCUGUUACAUUUUACCGUAUCUGCUACGGGCGCUCCUCGGGUAACGCCAGGAACCAUGGAUUAAUAUUUACUUACAUUAAGACGUCUCAAAUUUACAUCUCUAUACAUUUACCACAGUUUUAACACUCAUUUAUAUUUACAACCGUGCCAAUCAGAAACUCCCAAGGAAGAACGUGUAGAAAGCUACAGGAGUUUAUAAUACAUCUAUCGUGCUACAUACAUUUGCGCUGCGCAGAAUCCUGCCACCCACACUGAGCAGCGAUGUAAGAUCCUUUCUGUUUCCUUUUUAUUUGAUACAUUAAACCACUGGCUCCGGUUACACUAGGCAUCGCAGCGCCUGUCCGCGCACAACAGCAUUCCGUCUCCGUGACACCGCGCUCAUAAGGGAUUAAAAGGAAAAAAAAAAUAUUACGGAAUGAAGUAAAACUCUGCGAAUCGAAAAUUGAAGUUCUCGUUCCUAUAUUUCACUUUCAAAAUAUUUAGAACUUUGACAGAUAUGACAUUAUGUUUUCAUUAAAACAGCUGAUUUCAGAACGCUGCUCUCCGCAAAAACACCAUAAAGAGUUUAUGAUGAACUGCCAGGCUCUUAAUG